AGUAAAAUAAGCUAAAUAAAGCUAUUGGGUUCAUACCCCAAACAUGAGGAUCCCUCUUUUACUA
Molecule: transfer RNA, 64 nt
Filed under: Seepiophila jonesi
Lineage: Eukaryota; Metazoa; Annelida; Polychaeta; Sabellida; Siboglinidae
Description: tRNA-Met
Source: RNAcentral